Passer domesticus (house sparrow) is the source of this 1044-nucleotide long non-coding RNA. RefSeq lists it as uncharacterized. NCBI's taxonomy places the organism in Eukaryota, Metazoa, Chordata, Aves, Passeriformes, Passeridae. The record is from RefSeq and is a predicted model, not a curated record. The transcript is spliced from 3 exons.
GCCAGAUAUGAGUAGAGAAAACAGGGAGAGGAAAACAUAAAAGCAAAGAGGGAUGGCAACAAAAACCUUCCUUCAAAUCCUGUUCAACCUUUCCUGAGUGGCCACUGGAUUUUCAUACAAAGCACUCCAAGAAGAAACUAUAUAGGGCAAGAGGGGAAAACAAAAGGACACACAGUACUUAUUUGAAAACUACUUCAUAAAAGAGUGUUGAAGACUUUUCAGCCUUUGAGAUAUGAUAAGAACAAUUAAUUUUGUCCUAAGAUGAAUCCACUCAUUGCUGAAAGGAGGCAAAGUUCAAGGAAAUGAUCAGCAUCUCUUAAACUGAGAGGAAUGAAAAAAAAAUCAACACCAAUGUUUUUCUGCAUGUUGGGUAGGAGAUACUAACCAAGGACUGAUACUACUUGUUGCAUCCCUUUGUAAGUAACAUGUCACUUUGAUAUUUUAUUGAAUAUGUAUAUUCUGAUUAAAUGAGUAGAUGUAAACAAUGACAUACAGCAGACCAUUGCUGAGUCAGAUCUCUACAAGGCCAAAGCCAUUUUAGGUUUUAUUAUACAAAUCCAGCAAGAAUACUUAUCACAUAGACUUUUUUUUUUUUCUUUUAACAUAGUUAUUCCUGAAAUUAUAUGCAUAUUAUAUAUUCAGCUUAUUACACAAUAUAUAUUCCAUAAUUUUAUUAUAAUAUGGUUAAAAAUAUCUGCAAAUUGUUCAGAGAUUAUCUUGAUAAUGGAAAGAAUUACUUCAUUCUUAUGCUAAGUACUUGACUCCUUCAUAAAUAUUGAGCUAUUUUCUGACAUCAAUGAGUAGUAAGGCAGACUUCCAUAUAAUGAUACACUGUGGGCAAUUCUAAACUGCAGUGUACUGAUUUUGAAGUAAGCACUAUUUUGGUAUGAAGGAAAUGUUUUAUUUACUGAUUAGGUUCCAACUAUAGAAUUGUGUUGCCUUUCUUGCUUAUAUUUGCCCUGGCCAGGUAAGAUGAAAGGUAUAGACUUGCAGGAUUUAAGAACCAUUUCAAUAAUCAGUAAUGUUAUUUUAAAAUCUCACUAC